RNAcentral lists this unclassified non-coding RNA (1199 nucleotides) under Amphimedon queenslandica. Its description in RNAcentral is "uncharacterized LOC109586153, transcript variant X3". The record is from RNAcentral. Lineage: Eukaryota; Metazoa; Porifera; Demospongiae; Haplosclerida; Niphatidae.
GUUUAUCACUGACAAGUGGUGAGGUUUGUGAGGGAGCUGUUGCUACUUGGACCUGUAUUGUCAGGGUAUCUCAUGAUGGGGUGAGGCUAGGAUGGCGUAACAAUGGAAAUACUUUAUACCCACAACUUCACGCUGUAUCUUCACUGGGGUCUGGCAGCCCAUUUUAUGCCACACUCAUCUCUAGUGAUAGUAGAAUCAUCAUAUCUUCAGCAACUGCUACAGUAACCAAUAUUGUAAGAGGAUCAUUACUGGAGUGUUCUGAUAGUGACUUUAUGUCUCCUAGCACAAAUGUUACCUUGAUUUUUAAAGGUCCAGUAGCUGCUAAUCUUAGCUCACCUGUGUUUUUUGGUGAUGGUAUCAGGGUCUCUUGGAGUGGAGCCACUUGUGCAGGAUCAUACAAACUUUCUAUUUAUCUCUCAGUUUAUGAAGUUGAUGUAAAGAAUGUAACUGGAACAACACAUUAUGACUUUAUUCCAGUGACUUCUGGUGAGUAUAGCUUUGGAUUAACCAGUGUCAAUCAUUUGGGAAAGGACAUUGGUAAUGCUACAUAAUGUACAUCCAUUUCUUGGAAAGAGCCCAAAAUAUCUGUUGAUACAAAUAUUAACAACAAUUGCCAACUUUACAAUUAGGAACAAUGAUGAUGAACGACCUCCAGUUACUAACUGUAGCAUUACUUUUGAUGAUGUCUUGAAAUCAUGUGUCAUGAGUAAUAUUAUUAUCUUUAACAUAACAUCAGGAGCUAAGCACUCUUACAAUAUUACUGUUACUAAUGCUGCUGGUACAGUUAAUAUGAAUGAGUUGAGUAACCAAGUGAAGAAUACAACAACACAAGUCAAUACAACAAUGGAACUCAGUGCCUCUAUAGAUCCCCUUGCAAUUGCUGCUUCACCCACUGUUCUUGGAGUAUUAAUAAUAAUUGUCUAUUUGUUGGAUAUUGCUGAGGAUAUGUUGGAAGAGACAAUGGUGCUGUCCCAGGAUUUGGAGGAGUAGCUUUUGGUUGCUUUUCUUUUGCUAUGAUUGUUGUACUUAUAAUGCUGGAGUAAAAGGAAAGGCCACUGCUAUAAAUGCAGGUUUAAAUAAUCCAACUGUUGGAGGGGAAAAGGGACCUCAUACAACUCUUUAACUUUGUGUAACUUUAAGUCAAAAACUUUGCUGAUACCACUUCUGUAGUUAUCUAAAUUCACAAGGUUAUUUUACAA